AUUGAACGCUGGCGGCAGGCCUAACACAUGCAAGUCGAGCGGAUGAAGGGAGCUUGCUCCUGGAUUCAGCGGCGGACGGGUGAGUAAUGCCUAGGAAUCUGCCUGGUCGUGGGGGAUAACGUCCGGAAACGGGCGCUAAUACCGCAUACGUCCUGAGGGAGAAAGUGGGGGAUCUUCGGACCUCACGCUAUCAGAUGAGCCUAGGUCGGAUUAGCUAGUCGGUGGGGUAAAGGCCUACCAAGGCGACGAUCCGUAACUGGUCUGAGAGGAUGAUCAGUCACACUGGAACUGAGACACGGUCCAGACUCCUACGGGAGGCAGCAGUGGGGAAUAUUGGGCAAUGGGCGAAAGCCUGAUCCAGCCAUGCCGCGUGUGUGAAGAAGGUCUUCGGAUUGUAAAGCACUUUAAGUUGGGAGGAAGGGCAGUAAGUUAAUACCUUGCUGUUUUGACGUUACCAACAGAAUAAGCACCGGCUAACUUCGUG
RNAcentral lists this ribosomal RNA (484 nucleotides) under uncultured bacterium. RNAcentral describes it as "partial 16S ribosomal RNA". It matches the Rfam family "Bacterial small subunit ribosomal RNA", at positions 30 to 507 of the family's 1533-position model. The record is from RNAcentral.